RNAcentral lists this transfer RNA (73 nucleotides) under Flavobacterium hungaricum. RNAcentral describes it as "tRNA-Asn". It matches the Rfam family "tRNA". Rfam says of the family: Transfer RNA (tRNA) molecules are approximately 80 nucleotides in length. Their secondary structure includes four short double-helical elements and three loops (D, anti-codon, and T loops). Further hydrogen bonds mediate the characteristic L-shaped molecular structure. tRNAs have two regions of fundamental functional importance: the anti-codon, which is responsible for specific mRNA codon recognition, and the 3' end, to which the tRNAs corresponding amino acid is attached (by aminoacyl-tRNA synthetases). tRNAs cope with the degeneracy of the genetic code in two manners: having more than one tRNA (with a specific anti-codon) for a particular amino acid; and 'wobble' base-pairing, i.e. permitting non-standard base-pairing at the 3rd anti-codon position. Lineage: Bacteria; Pseudomonadati; Bacteroidota; Flavobacteriia; Flavobacteriales; Flavobacteriaceae. The record is from RNAcentral.
GAUUUUGUAGCUCAAUAGGCAGAGCAAUUGGAUAUUACCCAAUAGGUUAAAGGUUCGAAUCCUUUCAAAAUCA